Small nucleolar RNA from Arachis duranensis, 106 nucleotides. NCBI's taxonomy places the organism in Eukaryota, Viridiplantae, Streptophyta, Magnoliopsida, Fabales, Fabaceae. The record is from RefSeq and is a predicted model, not a curated record.
AAGCAUGGUGUGGGCAUUUUCUCAACAUCUCUUUGUAUCUUUCUCAGGCUUUAUAUAGUGAUUCACCAUCUUUCUGGGAGAAGGAAUUUAUGUCAUUUCUCAGCCG